This 279-nucleotide ribosomal RNA is filed under the name uncultured bacterium. RNAcentral's name for it is "partial 16S ribosomal RNA". It matches the Rfam family "Bacterial small subunit ribosomal RNA", at positions 506 to 784 of the family's 1533-position model. The record is from RNAcentral.
UGCCAGCCGCCGCGGUAAUACGGAGGGUGCGAGCGUUAAUCGGAAUUACUGGGCGUAAAGCGCAUGCAGGCGGUUGAUUAAGCGAGAUGUGAAAGCCCCGGGCUUAACCUGGGAACUGCAUUCGAUACUGCAGAACUAGAGUAUGGUAGAGGGAAGUGGAAUUUCCGGUGUAGCGGUGAAAUGCGUAGAUAUCGGAAGGAACACCAGUGGCGAAGGCGACUUCCUGGGCCAAUACUGACGCUGAGGUGCGAAAGCGUGGGGAGCAAACAGGAUUAGAUA